Pelobates cultripes (western spadefoot toad) is the source of this 260-nucleotide non-coding RNA. The record is from the annotation of a GenBank genome assembly. Lineage: Eukaryota; Metazoa; Chordata; Amphibia; Anura; Pelobatidae.
CUUCCCACUACCAGAGCAGCAUGCUAACCCCUGUGCCCACUACCAUCAAUGUGAUCACUAUUUUACAUUUACAUUCAUCUAACCCACUAUUCUCUCUACAAGGACACCAAGCAAACAUUCUAUACUUAGCUACAUAAGCUUCCGUAAAUCAUCAAAUCUUACGCCUUUUUGAUCUGAAAGAUCUACCUAUCAAUAGCUACAAACAAACCGAGGCAUAACUAGUGUUUAGGUUCAGUCUGAAAACAAUAAGCAUGUUGUAU